UACGUAGGUGGCUAGCGUUGUCCGGAUUUACUGGGCGUAAAGAGCGCGCAGGCGGUCGUUCAAGUCGAGUGUGAAAGCCCCCGGCUCAACUGGGGAGGGUCACUCGAUACUGAUCGACUCGAAGGCAGGAGAGGGAAGCGGAAUUCCCGGUGGAGUGGUGAAAUGCGUAGAUAUCGGGAGGAACACCAGUGGCGAAGGCGGCUUUCUGGCCUGCUCUUGACGCUGAGGCGCGAAAGCUAGGGUAGCAAACGGG
This 253-nucleotide ribosomal RNA is filed under the name uncultured bacterium. RNAcentral describes it as "partial 16S ribosomal RNA". It matches the Rfam family "Bacterial small subunit ribosomal RNA", at positions 524 to 776 of the family's 1533-position model. The record is from RNAcentral.